GUGCUCACUUUGGCAGCACAUGCAUUAAACUGUAACAAUACAAAGAAGAUUAGCAUGGCUCCUGCAUGAGAAUAACACACAAACUCAUGUUCCAUAUUUUU
Small nuclear RNA from Ictidomys tridecemlineatus (thirteen-lined ground squirrel), 101 nucleotides. NCBI's taxonomy places the organism in Eukaryota, Metazoa, Chordata, Mammalia, Rodentia, Sciuridae. The record is from Ensembl.